Molecule: ribosomal RNA, 41 nt
Filed under: Ophiostoma himal-ulmi
Lineage: Eukaryota; Fungi; Ascomycota; Sordariomycetes; Ophiostomatales; Ophiostomataceae
Description: partial 28S ribosomal RNA
Source: RNAcentral
UGACCUCGGAUCAGGUAGGAUUACCCGCUGAACUUAAGCAU